AUUGAACGCUGGCGGCAUGCCUUACACAUGCAAGUCGAACGGCAGCGCGGGAACAAUCCUGGCGGCGAGUGGCGAACGGGUGAGUAAUACAUCGGAACGUGCCCAAUCGUGGGGGAUAACGCAGCGAAAGCUGUGCUAAUACCGCAUACGAUCUACGGAUGAAAGCAGGGGAUCGCAAGACCUUGCGCGAAUUGAGCGGCCUAUGGCAGAUUAGGUAGUUGGUGAGGUAAAGGCUCACCAAGCCUUCGAUCUGUAGCUGGUCUGAGAGGACGACCAGCCACACUGGGACUGAGACACGGCCCAGACUCCUACGGGAGGCAGCAGUGGGGAAUUUUGGACAAUGGGCGAAAGCCUGAUCCAGCCAUGCCGCGUGCAGGAUGAAGGCCUUCGGGUUGUAAACUGCUUUUGUAAGGAACGAAACGGUCUUUUCUAAUAAAGAAGGCUAAUGACGGUACCGUAAGAAUAAGCACCGGCUAACUACGUG
This 484-nucleotide ribosomal RNA is filed under the name uncultured bacterium. RNAcentral's name for it is "partial 16S ribosomal RNA". It matches the Rfam family "Bacterial small subunit ribosomal RNA", at positions 30 to 507 of the family's 1533-position model. The record is from RNAcentral.